RNAcentral lists this long non-coding RNA (299 nucleotides) under Capsicum annuum. RNAcentral's name for it is "long non-coding RNA (CANN_LNC020868)". The record is from RNAcentral. Lineage: Eukaryota; Viridiplantae; Streptophyta; Magnoliopsida; Solanales; Solanaceae.
AUGAAAUAAGGAAAAUCAAAAGAAGGAAUAAAAGAAUUAUGUUUGAAUAAGAAGUAUUUCUACCAGUAAAGUUUAUUUGGGGGUGUAUAUUGACUUUAAUAACGCAUGACAUACAAUUUGGAGUAGACAUUUGACCCUUCAAAACUGUCUAAUCCCGAAUUAGGCUGCACCUUUCAAUCAAAUCAAAUCGUCCUUCUUGAUCUUUGUUCUAUCAUGAUAAACUUUGUCUGACUAAAGUUAUUCCUUCUAGGAUCUUCUCAAUUGCCCUCUCUGAUUUCGGUUGUCUCGUUCAUCAUUGU